RNAcentral lists this ribosomal RNA (356 nucleotides) under uncultured Frankia sp. RNAcentral's name for it is "bacterial SSU rRNA". It matches the Rfam family "Bacterial small subunit ribosomal RNA", at positions 34 to 400 of the family's 1533-position model. Lineage: Bacteria; Bacillati; Actinomycetota; Actinomycetes; Frankiales; Frankiaceae. The record is from RNAcentral.
CGCUGGCGGCGUGCUUAACACAUGCAAGUCGAGCGAGGAACUUCGGUUCCUAGCGGCGAACGGGUGAGUAACACGUGGGCAACCUGCCCCGAGCUCUGGGAUAACUUCGGGAAACCGGGGCUAAUACCGGAUAUGACACUACUGGACAUCUGGUGGUGUGGAAAGAUUUAUCGGCUUGGGAUGGGCCCGCGGCCUAUCAGCUUGUUGGUGGGGUAACGGCCUACCAAGGCGACGACGGGUAGCCGGCCUGAGAGGGCGAUCGGCCACACUGGGACUGAGACACGGCCCAGACUCCUACGGGAGGCAGCAGUGGGGAAUAUUGCGCAAUGGGCGGAAGCCUGACGCAGCGACGCCGC